GGGAGGAAAGUGCUGGAAGUAAUUGCUUGUGGGGAGAUUCAGUGAGGGAGGGCUGAGUUCCCUUCACCCCAAAGUUGCAAGUAAAAAGGAGACCAGCCAUUUUCGCGGUGAUUGGAGUAGACACAUGAAGGAUAAGGGAGGAACUCAUUAAUUUUGGCAAGGCUGAAAUCAAAUGCAGAUGUGCUGUUGAUUGCAACAUGGCAAAGAACCAAAGGCUGCCAUCAACGUUUUGUGCCGUGGAGUUUAGUACAAUCAAGGGCAAUAAAUUGGUGGUUCCCAACCUUGGAUCCCCAGAUGUUGUUGGACUACCACUCCCGUCAUCUUCAAUUAACUGUGCAUCUCUACCUGAAGAAUGACCAGCUUGCAGGCAACACAGCUUUCAGGUAGGGCAGGAGAAAGAAGAGCAACCUGAGCUGUCUCCUGUGGGGGCCUCUGGCUGCUUAUGAUGAGACACUACUGCUACAAAGACUGUCCUUCACUUUUGAUCGCUAAACAGCGGAUGUUUUUCUCAUGACUGCAGGCAGGAGCCUGGCUUUUCCUUGGAUAGUUGUGUCAAACACAGUCCCAUGGAUGGAGCUUUCUUGCUAAAGCAAGAGGUGCCAUACAGAAUAGCCUGUCCCAUAACAUUCUUCAUCUGAUCAUAUUUUGCUCUAAUUCAA
Long non-coding RNA from Hemicordylus capensis (graceful crag lizard), 659 nucleotides. RefSeq lists it as uncharacterized. The transcript has 3 exons. The record is from RefSeq and is a predicted model, not a curated record. Lineage: Eukaryota; Metazoa; Chordata; Lepidosauria; Squamata; Cordylidae.